Molecule: ribosomal RNA, 243 nt
Filed under: uncultured bacterium
Lineage: Bacteria
Description: partial 16S ribosomal RNA
Rfam family: Bacterial small subunit ribosomal RNA
Source: RNAcentral
UACGUAGGGUGCAAGCGUUGUCCGGAAUUAUUGGGCGUAAAGAGCUCGUAGGCGGUCUGUCGCGUCGGAUGUGAAAACCCAGGGCUUAACCCUGGACCUGCAGUGGGUACGGGCAGACUAGAGUGCGGUAGGGGAGAUCGGAAUUCCUGGUGUAGCGGUGAAAUGCGCAGAUAUCAGGAGGAACACCGGUGGCGAAGGCGGAUCUCUGGGCCGUAACUGACGCUGGAGGAGCGAAAGCAUGGG